RNAcentral lists this ribosomal RNA (403 nucleotides) under uncultured bacterium. RNAcentral describes it as "bacterial SSU rRNA". It matches the Rfam family "Bacterial small subunit ribosomal RNA", at positions 355 to 774 of the family's 1533-position model. The record is from RNAcentral.
UGAGGGAUAUUGGUCAAUGGGCGCAAGCCUGAACCAGCGACGCCGCGUGGGUGAAGAAGGUCUUCGGAUCGUAAAGCCCUUUUCCCACUGAAGAGGAAGGACGGUAGGUGGGGAAGAAGUCUCGGCUAACUACGUGCCAGCAGCCGCGGUAAAACGUAGGGGGCAAGCGUUGUCCGGAUUUACUGGGUGUAAAGGGUGCUCAGGCGGAUUUGUAAGUCAGAGGUGAAAUCUUACAGCUUAACUGUGAAACUGCCUUUGAUACUGCAAGCCUAGAGGAUGGAAGAGAGUGAUGGAAUAUCUGGUGUAGCAGUGAAAUGCGUAGAUAUCAGAUAGAACACCGAUGGCGAAGGCAGUCACUUGGUCCAUUACUGACGCUAAAGCACGAAAGCGUGGGUAGCAAACA